GCCGGGUGAGGCGUGGGGAGGCCCGGAGAGGCUGUGGAGGUUCAGCCGCGGCAGGGCUGGGCGCUGGUUUGAGCCUCCUUCGCCGCUGAGAGCCGCCGGCGGAGAGGAGAACACAACCACCGGAAAGCGAUCAGGAAUUUUGCUGUGAGGAGAGCGUAGGAUACAGAGAGCUCGUCUGAGGGCUCAGUCUUCUUAGGUCUGCUGUUGUUGCACCAGCGUUCCGGCAGCUGUCGGAGAUCCGGAUUCCACGGGCCUUUCCCUCCUGAAACAUCAGCUGCCUUCCCCUGAGUAACGCCCGAGAAACUGCAUACGUAGGUUUGGAGAAAAUUGAAAAGCCUGAAUCUGAAAAUCUUCUCUUUUAUAGAUGACACACAAACUACUCAUAAACAACCCCUGUUGAUCUUUUAGAAAUCCCCUAGGGUAAACAGAACACUGGUUGGGGUAACUUUAUCGUCCUUAGUGGCUUAGUUGUCUAAAUCUUCAGGAUUUUUCCAUCUAUCACUGUCACUUUGUGCUGUCAGUAAACAUAAACAUUCUGAGGUUUUUAAAAAUUUGUAAGUUUAGGUAAAAAUGUGAAGUUGAAAUGCUGUCAGUUUUAACGCUUAUUUUCAUCAGACUGAUGCAAUGUAAUUUUAAGCAAAUUUACUAAGAAUUAAUUUUAAAGCAGCUUUUAAAAAAUGUACCUUUAUAUUCACUACAUUUAAUACCUUUCCUUGUUAGCUUAGUGUCUCGUUUAACUUGUGUUGUGUUGUUCUGCUGUUUACCUUUUUUUUUUUUUUUUGCUCAUGUUUGGGGCUUUACAGUGUCUUUUAUCUUCUCUAUUCUGCAAGGCUCACAUCUUGCUUUUCAUGCUAUUCAUCCUAUUUUCAGAGGACCUUCCCUUCCCUUCCCUUCCCUUCCCUUCCCUUCCCUUCCCUUCCCUUCCCUUCCCUUUUUUUUUCUUAAAAAAAUAUUUAUUUAGGUCUCUGUGCUUAUUUAUUCUGUACUGCAGAGUGGCAUGGAAAUAUAGAAUAUGAUUUUGUUUUAUCCACAUAGACCUUUUUUCUGUAGAAAGUAACAAGUAGGAAAAAAACUGGCAUCAGCAUGUUUUCUCUGGCCUUAAUAAAAAGGUCUUUGCUUCUGUCUGGGGGUAACCAGAUGCACUCCUACAGGUGCAGCAGUAAGUCUGGAACAAUGUGGUUGUACCGAGCAAGUACAGUGACCUUGCAGUUACUAGUGAGCAGCUCACGAGAUUUCUGGGCUGGGACCUUGCACUAAUCUGAGUCGUCUGUGGGAUUGAUCAGUAUCAGAGUGCUUCAGCUUCUCUUGGAGCCCAUUUAUUGACAUCUUCCCCCAUUCUCACAUUUUGAUUUAUUUAUCAACCCAUGGGUCGUGCAGUUAAUGAGAUGAAGCUUGAUAUAACAUGAAAAUGGAGAGAAAUGACUGUAAAUGUUUUGGAUACUCUUCUUCUUUUAUGACCUUUUAAAAUAUUUCAGUUAGAAACAACAAGCUUUUUUUUUUUUUUUUUUUUCACCAGUUAGUUUGCAGUCCUGCUGGAGUUUUUCAUGACUUUUGAUUAUCUUAAUUACGUCUUUGCCUGUGUCACUUUUUCAAGAUCCAAAAAUAGUUACUACGAUUAAGGACAAAAAAUAGUCAGGAUGAAGAAGUCAUGAAUGACAAACCCAAACUGCCUUUUGGAGAAAAGUUCAAAAAAACACACUAGAGUGUAGUCAUAGGAAGUUCAGAGUUCUUAAACUUUUUUCCACCUGUUUCUGGUUCUUCUGGUUGAACCAAUACUGUGCAUCUAAUUUCAGGCAUGCAGAGGUGGCUAGCAGAAAUAAAUGAAUGAAGAUGACUUUAUGCUUGUAUCAAAUUUACAGUCUGUGGAAGAAUCUAAGUACAUCCAAAUGGCUGGGUCAGGUAGAGGAAGAGGACAUGCUUCAUCUGCCUUGAACAUGGAGGCUGUUGGUUUUGGUAAAGAUGCAGCUCUACCUGAUUUCAUCUGUAAGCUUCACCAUAAUUUCCAGUAAGUACAGCCAGUAUCUUGGAGCACAGUCUGUGUUCAGGUAAACUAUGUUUACACUCAUGUUUAGAGAACAUAGAGAACUUAAUGAAAUAUAUGAACACCCGUAAGAAUUUUGGAUUUUAUCAUAAUGUAAAUCACUAUUUUUCUUAAUUCAUCAUCAAAAGGGGCUUUCCUGCCCCUUUGCUAACUGUUGUAUCACAUAUUUAACUGGAUUGCUUGCAAGGAGUUAGUGCAUUGAAGUCCUCAUCAUGAUUUGGUUUUCUGGACAUUACAAGAAUAGAUACACUGGAUACUUGAAUUUGUCUGAAAUGAGUUUACAUUAAUCUUUGAAGCUAUAAAUUUGCUGAUUUUAGAAAAUUACUAUUUAUGCAAACAUGAAAGAUUGUGUAUGAUUGUCCUGUACUGCAGAAGCCAGCAUUUGAAAAUAACUGAAAGAUCUUUUGUGUAAUUAAGGGAGCGUAAUUGAGACUUGGCAUUUUGGAUGUAUUUGAAAAUCAAAGGGGAAUAAAGACCAUCUUCUGACUGCAUUUUGAUGUCCAGGGAAGCUUUGGACUUACUGAACCAUAUAUUAUUCAUCCUCUUAAUCCAGCAUUGCAAUUAAGAUGUGUGAUUUCAUAUUACUAAGUCAUCUGUAACUGUUUUUCAUGUGAAUGUUGCAGUUUGCUUGGUAGCACAGUUCUGUGCCAUUGGAAUUCUGUAUACACUGCAUCUUUUGAGGUACAGUCAGUCUAACAGGACAAUUACUAGCCCCAGUAUAUUUAAUGUAUACCCUGGAGAAGGUAAAAGGCUUUCUUCCUUCUGUGAACAAAAUUUCAGAACCAAGUUAAACUUCUCAGGGCAAAUCUGGUGUCAUUCAGAAAAAUCAGAGUUAACCUAGCUGUAUAAGUAGAAUCAAUAAAAAAUUCAAGUGUUGAUUUAAUGACUGGACAAUGACCAAAAGUACGUUACAGCUUUGACUAACUUACAGUGAAAGUAUUUGAAGCAGUGAAUUAUUGCUGUUGCAUAUUCCUGUUAGACACUUUCUGAGUUCACACAAAGUUUCUGUAAAUGCAAUUAGAAACUCAAUUAAGGAACAUCAGCAACAUUAAGUGAUUUAAAGUAUUGGACAACUUGCAAAUAUAGAUGGAAGCAGUAAGCUCCUUUCAUGGUCCAGAUCUGGGACUUCUGAUACACUUCAUGCUUUGCAACCUACCACUCACUUAUUGAUUUAGCACCAUUUAUCACAUGAGAGAAACAACAUCCAUUCUAUAAUUCUGCCUGUAGUAUUCUGGAUACUUUUAAAACUGUUUUUGCAUAUUUAUCUUUCUCACUUUCAAGGUUCAAGUUAAACAAAAACAAAACACCCCAAAAGCAAACCCCUACAAAAAACCUCCCUCAAAUCCCAAAAAUCCAACCCUUAACAUUUCAUUUAAAUUCAUCUGGUAGAAACUGUGUGAGGGCCUGGUUUUAGACAACACAACCUCAUGAUAAUAGUCAUGAGAAGAGUGUCCAUGUUAUUAGAUAGCAUACUUAAUGUAGCUGUAACACUAUCAUAGAAUAGCAUACUUAAUGUAGCUGUAACACUAUCAUAGAAGUGGUUAAGAAAAAUACCACUCUGACUGAAGAGAGAAGGAAUAGUUUCUGAGAAAGUUUGGUUGGUGAGAAUAAUUGCUUUUGGCAGUUAAGAGUUUAGGAUUACUAUGAAUGACUGUGUAACAGUUUUAAUAAUUUUUUUCCCUUGAUUUUGUACAAAAUGCCACAUCUGAGGGGUGGGUUAUAAUUACAUCAAUGAUGGUCUUCAAUUUAAAAAGCUUGUUUUUAUCUCAAUUGUAGUGUGCAGUUGUCUCUGGGACUGCAUUCUGUGGCAAAAGUGGUCUAGCUUUAAGAAAACUGUGGAGUAGAUUUUUUUUUACUGAUAUUUUCUGUUACCUGGUUAACAGAACAUUUUGUAAAAGUAAGAGGGUGUUACAAAGUGGGCUGUAAGCAGGAACUUGAUAAAUUGUCUUUGCUACAAGAGUGAAUGGAUUGUUAUAAAACCUCAGAGCAGUAUCUGUGAGCCAGGUGGUCCUUUGAAGUGUGAGAAGGGAAACGUUUUAUUAGUUAGGAUGUAUCUAUCUAUUUUUCAUUAUUCAGGUAGCAAAUGAAAGCCCUGUCUCCUUCUACCUGGAAAUUUUGAUGUGAAAUGUGCCAAAUAGCAUAGAUUUCCAUCAUUCAACACUCAUUUUGAGAGAAUAGCCGGCAUAUUCUAUAGAAAUUUCUUUAUUUACCCCACUAUGUAAGUUACGAAUCACUCAUAUUUUCCUGUGCAUGUAUCUGCCAAGACUGGGUGACUGCCACGUUGGCAGUGGUUUGGAAUUAGUUCCGUGGUUGUGAGUGGCAAGAGUCAGUCAAUGGAUUUUUUUACUGAUGGCAUCAGCAAUUUUUUCCUCACUAAAGAGCCUUGAACUGAAAUCAAAACUACUUGUUUCUUUUCCUCUCUUUGCUGGUAGUUUCCUACAUCUAUGAAUGCCCCUUGAGACACUGUUAUUUUAAUUGUAAACUCUUUCAUGCACAAUUUUGAGAAGGUUUUCUGUUUGCCUUCAUAAUAACUAAGUUUAAGAUUUAGCUUCAUCUAUGAUGUCUUCUUUUUCCGUGGUGAGUACGCACCUGAAGGAUGGAAUGCCACAGAGAGACCUUCUCCAGUCUCCAGACAGACUGGAGAAGUGGGUGCAUGGGAAUCUCAUGUAGUUUUAAUAGUGAGUGCAAGUGCUGCACCUGGGUUGGACCAGUGCCAGCACGUUGAGGGAGGGAUUGUUCCCCUCUUCCCUGUUUUGGUGGGACCCCACCUGCGGUUCUGCAUAAGCUCUGGGGUCCCAGAACAGGAAGGACAUGGACCUGUUGGAACAAGUCCAGAAGAGGCCACUCAGUUGAUUAGAGGGAAGGAGAACUUCUCCUAUGAGGAGAGCCUGAGAGAAUUGAGAUUAUUCAGCUUGGAAAAGUCUUCAGGCUGACCUAAUUGCAGCCUUUCAGUAUCUAAAGGGAAUUUACAGAAAAGAUGGGGCAAUAGCAUGUAGUGACAGGACAAAGGGGAAUAGGUUCAAAUUGAAAGAGAAUAGGUUUAGAUUAGACAUUAAGAAGAAAUUCUUUACUGUGAGGGUGUUGAGGCACUGACACAGGUUGCUCAGGGAAAUUGUGGAUGCCCCAUUUCUGGAGGUGUUCAAUGCCAGGCUCGGGGCUUUGAGUAACCCGAUCUAGUGGAAGGUGUCCCUUCCCAUGUCAGUGGGGUUAGAACAAGAUGAUGUUUAAGGUCCCUUCCAACUCAAACUCUUCUGUCAUUCUGUGAGUCUGUGAUUAUGUGCUAGAAGUUUUUGACACUAAAGGUUUGUUACUAUUUUUUGUAAAAUAUCUGCAAAUAUUAUCCCUACUUGGGUUAACAGUGCAAUCAGGUUCAGUAAUUUUGCAUGAAGUGGAUUUUGCAUGUGGCAAUUUGUCAAGAAAAAAUGUGACUGAUUUAAAAAUACUAAAGUUUUGGUAUUACUUUUGGCAUUAGAGAUUGUAUGUAAAAGGUUAUUAUCCAUGUAUAAAUGAAUGUACUUGUACUGUAUGACUACUGUAUUAUUUACAAUGAAUUUCUAAAUUUACUUCUUGUGCCUGAAAGAAGGUUAAAUUGAUUAAAUGUUUAGCUGCUGUUUUGGAUAGGAUGCAAAGCUCUUCCAUUGCAGAAGUACUGGAAGUCUUGGAAGCUGGUGAUCAGACACAACCUUUUGAGACUUGGGAAUACUGGAUGCUAUUUAUGAAUAACACAGUGAUGUUAAAUGUUGCUCACUGGUUUUGUAAUAAAAGUUUGAUUGUGAAACUCUUGAAGAGUAGAGAGUUACUGUUGUAUCUGAUGUUUUCAACUUAGUCUCUGAAUAAAUCUGCAUUUAACAAUUCCAUGCUUUUCAAGGAUAAAAGAAUAAAUCACAGUAUUUUUGGA
Long non-coding RNA from Zonotrichia leucophrys gambelii, 5939 nucleotides. RefSeq lists it as uncharacterized. The record is from RefSeq and is a predicted model, not a curated record. Lineage: Eukaryota; Metazoa; Chordata; Aves; Passeriformes; Passerellidae. The transcript is spliced from 3 exons.